RNAcentral lists this small nuclear RNA (97 nucleotides) under Schistosoma mattheei. Lineage: Eukaryota; Metazoa; Platyhelminthes; Trematoda; Strigeidida; Schistosomatidae. The record is from RNAcentral.
GUGCUUGCUUCGCCGGUAUAUAUACUAAAAUUUGAACGAUACAGAGAAGAUUAACAUGGCCUCUGACAUGCAAAAUCAUGAAGCAUUCCAUAUUAUU